This 73-nucleotide transfer RNA is filed under the name Dermacentor andersoni. Its description in RNAcentral is "transfer RNA valine (anticodon AAC)". Lineage: Eukaryota; Metazoa; Arthropoda; Arachnida; Ixodida; Ixodidae. The record is from RNAcentral.
GUUCCCGUAGUGUAGCGGUUAUCACGUGCGCUUAACACGCGCAAGGCCCCCGGUUCGAUCCCGGGCGGGAACA